GGAUGAAUAUAGUGAACGUGAGUGUCUAUUCCUCCUGCUGUUAAUAUUCUUCCUUCUCCUGCUAAAGCUUCAGUUCCAACACCAACUACAAAGUCAACAUCAUCCAUUGUAUCUGGGUUGCCCCCUUUACCAAUAGCAAGUAUCUUUCCAUCUUUAAUUCCAACAUCUGCUUUAUAUAUCCCAGUAUAAUCAACUAUUGUUGCUCCUGUUAUAAUUAAAUCAGCAACUUCUGGGUUUUUAUUUGUUUGUGUGGCAUUUUGCCCCAUACCAUCUCU
RNAcentral lists this small RNA (275 nucleotides) under Clostridium celatum. Its description in RNAcentral is "5' ureB small RNA". It matches the Rfam family "5' ureB small RNA". The record is from RNAcentral. Lineage: Bacteria; Bacillati; Bacillota; Clostridia; Eubacteriales; Clostridiaceae.